UAUCAUUUAAAUUUAUAAUUUAUUUUUAUAAGCAAAUACCUAGUUUUGAAAACAAACAUUUAACAUUAAUUUGAACUCUAAUAACUUAUUAUUAUUUCGAAGUAUAACUAUAUAAGAUUGAAAGUUACAAUGAUUUAAUUUUAGUUGAAACCUGCGAUAUAAUUUUGUUGGAGCACAUUGGAGAUGGCAUCAUUGAGUUCGUCUAUUUCGCAACUUUGCUCGUUUGUCGAGGAUCUCCACCAUUCGUCGUUGUUCAUGUUUGGCCUUAGUCGUGAUAACGUCGAGCCAGAAUCCGUUGAAUUACCACCACCAACAACCCUGAGUGGAACCCAACAUUAGCAGGCCCAUACCUCCGGCACAAGUAGUUCCUCCUAAGCCAGACGUUUGGUUGGGUCUUCUUUUAAGAAACCUCCCGAAAAGCACGGAUGGAAAAAGUUUGUUCAAGCAUCAAAUGCAACUUAAACAACAUUUGAUGAAAAAAAACCUUUAACGUGGGGGAAAGGCCAUAAAGAUUGAUCGCGGCUCUUGUUAAGUCUCUACCAUUUGUUGUUGUUCCUUUUAAUUUUACAUUUUUGCUCCAUCGGAUAUUGGAUAGAGGUGGGUGGGAGAAAUUUGCUGAGUUGAAGAUGGAAGCGGUAGCGUUGGUUGUUGGAGAUGAAGGUGGUAGUGGCGGAUUUUGGAGCCAAUUCCAUAGCGUGCUCCGGAUUGGAGGGUUAGGUUGAGUGAGGAAGAUGGAGAAAUAUCUUUCCUUUUUUAUUUUUUUUCUUUAUUUUAAUUGUUUUUGGUGAGAAAAUGUAGAGUAUCAUUUUGUCCUUUCUAGAAAUGGUUAAACGUUUGAUUCUUGAUUAACUAACGAUAAUUUGAAUAGAAAUCGUCCAG
RNAcentral lists this long non-coding RNA (879 nucleotides) under Olea europaea subsp. europaea. The record is from RNAcentral. Lineage: Eukaryota; Viridiplantae; Streptophyta; Magnoliopsida; Lamiales; Oleaceae.